This 348-nucleotide unclassified non-coding RNA is filed under the name soil metagenome. Its description in RNAcentral is "partial contains 5.8S ribosomal RNA, internal transcribed spacer 2, and large subunit ribosomal RNA". The stretch from base 1 to 120 matches the Rfam family "5.8S ribosomal RNA", at positions 35 to 154 of the family's 154-position model. The record is from RNAcentral.
GAUGAAGAACGCAGUGAAAUGCGAUAACUAGUGUGAAUUGCAGAAUUCCGUGAAUCAUCGAGUCUUUGAACGCACAUUGCGCCCCCUGGUAUUCCGGGGGGCAUGCCUGUCCGAGCGUCAUUGCUGCCCAUCAAGCACGGCUUGUGUGUUGGGUCGUCGUCCCCUCUCCGGGGGGGACGGGCCCCAAGGCAGCGGCGGCACCGCGUCCGAUCCUCGAGCGUAUGGGGCUUUGUCACCCGCUCUGUAGGCCCGGCCGGCGCUUGCCGAACGCAAAUCAAUCUUUUUCCAGGUUGACCUCGGAUCAGGUAGGGAUACCCGCUGAACUUAAGCAUAUCAAUAAGCGGAGGA